RNAcentral lists this ribosomal RNA (253 nucleotides) under uncultured bacterium. Its description in RNAcentral is "partial 16S ribosomal RNA". It matches the Rfam family "Bacterial small subunit ribosomal RNA", at positions 524 to 776 of the family's 1533-position model. The record is from RNAcentral.
UACGAAGGGGGCUAGCGUUGCUCAGAAUUAUUGGGCGUAAAGGGCGCGUAGGCGGCUAGAUGUGUCAAAGGUGAAAUCCCUCGGCUCAACUGAGGAACUGCCUUUGAAACUGUCUGGCUUGAGGCCGGGAGAGGGUAGCGGAAUUCCCAGUGUAGCGGUGAAAUGCGUAGAUAUUGGGAGGAACACCAGUGGCGAAGGCGGCUACCUGGACCGGUUCUGACGCUGAGGCGCGAAAGCGUGGGUAGCAAACAGG